Molecule: ribosomal RNA, 356 nt
Filed under: Ashmunella todseni
Lineage: Eukaryota; Metazoa; Mollusca; Gastropoda; Stylommatophora; Polygyridae
Description: partial 16S ribosomal RNA
Source: RNAcentral
AUGAUUUGUUCAAUAGCCGCAGUACCCUGACUGUGCUAGGUAGCAUAAUCAAUUGGCUCAUAAUUGGAGUCUGGAAUGAAGGAAAGAUUAAGAAAUAACUGUCUCUAAGCAAUUAUCAAAAAUUAAUUAUAAAGUGCAAAUGCUUUUAAAUAAAUAUUAGACGAGAAGACCCUAGAAAUUUUUUGUUGGGUACAUGAACAUUUUGUUGGGGCGACAAAGUAACAAACUAUUAACUUACUUAUUUUGUUGAAGUAUAUAUACAGGAAGAAUAAAUUACUCUAGGGAUAACAGCAUAAUUUAAGCAAGUUUGUGACCUCGAUGAGGAUUAGGGAGAGUAUAGGUUAGAAGGUAUAUAC